GACGAACGCUGGCGGCGUGCUUAACACAUGCAAGUCGAACGGAAAGGCCCCUUUGGGGGUACUCGAGUGGCGAACGGGUGCGUAACACGUGAGUAACCUGCCCUUGACUUCGGGAUAACUUCAGGAAACUGGGGCUAAUAACGGAUAGGAAUCCUUGCUGCAUGGUGGGGGUUGGAAAGCUUCGGCGGCGUUGGAUGGGCUCGCGGCUCAUCGGCUUGUUGGUGGGGUAGUGGCUUACCAGGGCUUCGACGGGUAGCCGGCCUGAGAGGGUGAGCGGCGGCAGUGGGACUGAGGGACGGCAGAGACGCCUACGGGAGGAAGAAGUGGGGAAGAUUGCACAAGGGGCGGAGGCCGGAUGAAGCAACGCCGCGGGCGGUAUGGCGGCUUUGGGGUGGAAAACCGGUUGCAGCAGGGGCGAAGCUUGUUGUGACGGUACCUGCAGAAGAAGCACCGGCUAACUACGUG
RNAcentral lists this ribosomal RNA (465 nucleotides) under uncultured bacterium. RNAcentral's name for it is "partial 16S ribosomal RNA". It matches the Rfam family "Bacterial small subunit ribosomal RNA", at positions 28 to 507 of the family's 1533-position model. The record is from RNAcentral.